GAUAUCCGAGGGCCCAGGUGAUUUCUGUUCCUUCUGCUUGUUUCACUUGCAGGUGUUUCCCAGUCCAGCUCGCUGAGCCUCCGGCUCUGACAUUGGCACGUUCUUCAUUCCAGCUCUGGCUCUGAGAUGCUGCACUUGAUGGCUGCUCCAGUUCCUUCCAGCUCUGGGUCCCUGAGGUGGGUUCCCAUCUCUGCAGUCACCAAUGCUGCCGAUUUCCCUGGAAUCUCCCGCUGGGUGUUGAAGGGCAGCAGCCGGGGGAUGUGUUGAAGCAUCCUCUUCAUGCAGCGUUCCAAGCGAGGGUUGCAGUCAGCCUGUCAGCUGCAGAGUGUGACAGGGGGAGCGUGUGUGAGUCUGUGUCUGUCUGGGAGAGUCUGUGUCUGUCUGGAGAGUUUGUGUCUGUGUCUGUCUGCUCUUGUCUGCCUGUGCCAGUGUGUGUGCUGACUGCUUCUAACCUUGUGCAUAUGGUUUUUACCUUUUACCUUUGUCAACUCAUUUUUAAAUUUAGAAUAGAAAGUCCCCAGCCAGAGGGUUGGGUUUUUUCCCCCCCAGCUGAGUUUUUUUCCUUAGUCCCAGCCAACAAGACUAUGUUCAUCCCCAGAGGUUGGGCAUGGACAGUCCCAGUACCAGGGUUUUGUCAGCAGGAGGGUUUUUGAGGCAUGGACAGUCCCAGUACCAGGUUUUUGUCAGCAGGAGUGUUUUUCAGGCUCCUAGGAGCACUGAUGGCCGUGGUGUAAUGGAGCAGUGGAGACAAGAGCCACGGUGAGUUUGUGUGUGAGCUGAAAGAGUCGUGUGUGGUGCACAAGUGUUCUUCUUUCUGUGUGCUGCUUCUGUGUUGGGUUUCAUGUGUAAAUAAUAGCAACUGUAAUCAACACUUCAGAAACAGAAAAAUGGUUCUAUUGCAUUAAUAUAUAUUUUUGGUUUGUGUUCCCCUGUAUUGUUCUGUGUUUGCACUUGCUGCUGCAUUUCCAUGCAUUGCUCUGUAUAUAAUUCACCUUUAGCAGCCAUGUGUCCAUGGAGUGUACCUGUAAUUGAAUUGGUACCUGUCCUUGCCUUUGUACACCUUGCUGUCUUUUGCUGUGAAUAAAAACAUUCAUUCAAUAAAGUUAAGUCGCCCCUAGUCAAGAUA
Long non-coding RNA from Oenanthe melanoleuca, 1126 nucleotides. RefSeq lists it as uncharacterized. The transcript is spliced from 2 exons. NCBI's taxonomy places the organism in Eukaryota, Metazoa, Chordata, Aves, Passeriformes, Muscicapidae. The record is from RefSeq and is a predicted model, not a curated record.